AAGGGCACCACAAGAACGCGUGGAGCAUGUGGCUUAAUUUGACUCAACGCGGGAAAACUUACCGGGUCCGGACACACUGAGGAUUGACAGGCGAUUACUUGUGUUUUUCUAUUUAGUUGUGGCUUUUAUUAGUUAUAAUUAUUUAGAAACAGCACUUGUAUAGCAAAUAUGCUAGUCCUUUCAUGAUUGUGUGAUAGGUGGUGCAUGGCCGUUCUUAGUUCGUGGAGUGAUCUGUCUGCUUAAUUGCGUUUCACAAUAGAACAAUGCAGGGAUUGAGAUGUCCCGUGGGAUUGCUUGGUAUCUUUUUACCGCUUCCCGCUCAACGGGCUCUCAUUCAACCCUGUUACCGUGUUCUGAAGGCAACGAACGUGACCG
This 375-nucleotide ribosomal RNA is filed under the name Foraminifera environmental sample. RNAcentral describes it as "SSU rRNA". It matches the Rfam family "Eukaryotic small subunit ribosomal RNA", at positions 1160 to 1343 of the family's 1831-position model. Lineage: Eukaryota; Foraminifera. The record is from RNAcentral.